RNAcentral lists this long non-coding RNA (1207 nucleotides) under Daphnia pulicaria. RNAcentral's name for it is "uncharacterized LOC124320475, transcript variant X2". The record is from RNAcentral. Lineage: Eukaryota; Metazoa; Arthropoda; Branchiopoda; Diplostraca; Daphniidae.
UUGACAUCACAAUGCCUGCUUUUGUUUAAAUGAACAUACUUACUAUGCAGUAAUGAAUAAUGAUGUAGUGAAAGUUUAACAGCUUUGAAGUAAUCUGGGUAACUGGGGUUUCUCUAUCGAAUUGUGCUCUUUAAGUAUUCAUAACUAGCCAUGUUCAGACAUUUAUGCUUUAUGCUGUUCAUUGAACUGGAUUUGUUUGCCUGAUAAGAAAUUUUUUACACCAACUUCCUGCCUAUUGACAAAUUGUGAAGAGAGAGCCAAAAGAAAAGAAGGUAAUUCUGCCAGUUAUUAUAUAAAAAACAGGAAAAGAAAUCAUGUUGGUUAAGUAAGGAGAUUUUCUACUGUGUCAUCCUCAUCGGAACAAAUUUCCUGUUGCAAUUGUAAUUCGGGGUUGUAACUAAGUAAGUGGAGCCUUGGAGGUGAUGAUGGCAAACUACAACCACUGAAUGUAUCAGGGAUCACCAAAGUGAAUCAUCAUUUGGUAUUGUUUGUUGUCAUCGACAUGGUCCCUGCCCCCACGAAAUGAACUUGGUGUUGACAUUAUACAACCCCUUCAUUCUGGAUCAUCUGGAUGCCAAGAAAACUAGAUUGGUGUUACUAUAUGUAAUGACAGAGAGGAUGCGGCCUAGAUGAGCAAAAAAAAAAAAAAGAAAUCGGCUGACAACGACGAAGGGUCUGCAAUACGUUCGACGCUAAUCAUCUAUUGUUGUUGGUAUGAUUUGUUUGUAAGUUAACCCGUUGGCUGCCACGCAUUUUUCUCCCCAUGUUAGCUUCUAGCACGGGCCCGUACUGUUCGGUCUCUUGGUGUAGGUGCCAUGGGGCCGAAUAUGUCGCACCUCCUCCAGAUUUGCCGUAAGGCCCUGUUAGGCAGUGCACCACGACAGCAUCACACAUCACAACAGAUGAAAUCCCCAAGGUACAAUCUCUUCUAUAAUGAGAAGUGCUCCUACAUCUGAUAGUGAUCCCAGAUUGUUGACGAAAUAUCGUAUACUGCUACGUUUACGUAUCACCUUUUUAACUUUUAACUUCAUUCCUGUCAUUCUGCACUUUGCCCUACUUGUGAUAAAUCUUUAUUUUCUCUGUGUAAGUUUCGAUGGCCAUUGAUGUUCAGACUGUUGAUGGAGAGAUGCUGUAAGUGUUUUAAUUUCUUAUUACAAUUAGUAAGAACACCUGUAAAAGGAAUAACUUUUCAGGUGUUGAACCUUGA